This 444-nucleotide ribosomal RNA is filed under the name uncultured bacterium. RNAcentral's name for it is "SSU rRNA". It matches the Rfam family "Bacterial small subunit ribosomal RNA", at positions 26 to 518 of the family's 1533-position model. The record is from RNAcentral.
AGAGCGAACGCUGGCGGCAGGCCUAACACAUGCAAGUCGAGCGCCCCGCAAGGGGAGCGGCAGACGGGAGAGUAACACGUGGGAACGUACCCUUUGGUUCGGAACAACACAGGGAAACUUGUGCUAAUACCGGAUAAGCCCUUACGGGGAAAGAUUUAUCGCCAAAGGAUCGGCCCGCGUCUGAUUAGCUUGUUGGUGAGGUAACGGCUCACCAAGGCUACGAUCAGUAGCUGGUCUGAGAGGAUGAUCAGCCUCACUGGGACUGAGACACGGCCCAGACUCCUACGGGAGGCAGCAGUGGGGAAUAUUGGACAAUGGGCGCAAGCCUGAUCCAGCCAUGCCGCGUGGAUGAUGAAGGCCCUAGGGUUGUAAAGUCCUUUCGACGGGGAAGAUAAUGACGGUACCCGUAGAAGAAGCCCCGGCUAACUUCGUGCCAGCAGCCGC